UUAAUUGAAGCCAAAAUAGAGGCAUAUCACUGUUAAUGGUAUUACUGAAUAAAAAUUCCAAUUAAG
This 66-nucleotide transfer RNA is filed under the name Euphaea yayeyamana. Its description in RNAcentral is "tRNA-Asn". Lineage: Eukaryota; Metazoa; Arthropoda; Insecta; Odonata; Euphaeidae. The record is from RNAcentral.